GGCACGAUGACCGAGUGGCCUAAGGUGCUUGACUCGAAAUCAAGUCUCUUCGGAGGCGCAGGUUCAAAUCCUGCUCGUGUCG
Molecule: transfer RNA, 82 nt
Filed under: Neurospora sublineolata FGSC 5508
Lineage: Eukaryota; Fungi; Ascomycota; Sordariomycetes; Sordariales; Sordariaceae
Description: tRNA-Ser (CGA) (tRNA-Ser-CGA-1 1 to 3)
Rfam family: tRNA
About the family: Transfer RNA (tRNA) molecules are approximately 80 nucleotides in length. Their secondary structure includes four short double-helical elements and three loops (D, anti-codon, and T loops).
Source: RNAcentral